This is a long non-coding RNA of Dendroctonus ponderosae (mountain pine beetle), 1479 nucleotides long. RefSeq lists it as uncharacterized. The transcript is spliced from 2 exons. The record is from RefSeq and is a predicted model, not a curated record. Lineage: Eukaryota; Metazoa; Arthropoda; Insecta; Coleoptera; Curculionidae.
ACAGCCACGCGAUUCAAACGCUCCCCCAAAAACAUCUGGAAAACGUGCCGUUUCUCCAUUUCCAUAAACCGGAAUCGCAUUAGAAGCAGAGGAGAAAAAAGGGGACCCAAAACACGUUUCCAGGCUUGUGUUCGAUAAAUAUUUGCAAAAUGGUCGAUGUGGGAACCACUUCUAGCCGCUUCGUCUGCCCGAAUGAUCGACAACUAGCACUGAGAGCCAAGUAAGUAAAAAAAAGUCGAGUUUUGACCUUUUACAAACUCGAGUGGCUUUAGCCGAUUGCCCAAUAACCCGAAUACAGCCAAUGAACCCAAAUUGUCGCCAUUAUUUUCCCAUUUUUGCCUUGUUCAAAACUAAAACAUUUUAGCUGUGAAGGUGGCAAUUUCGAACGCAGCACGGCGUUGGCCAUGUUGCCUGCCGCAUAGCUGCUAUGUGUGCGCGUGAGACUACCGAUGCCAACCACGUUCCCGAAUGGGAAAAUCGGUUUUUUGCUUCAGUUUGCUUCCGAGAUUUUUGAAGAAGAAACGGCCGGAUGGAAUUCCAGUUUCAGACCAAUUGACUGAGUUGCACGCAUUUGUUCAAUAAAUAUACAUCAAAAACUUACCGCCACAGGGGAAAAAAUCGCGCGCUCUUGCAGAGAGAACUGAUUUUCGACGCUCGAAACAUUGUUGUAUUUGAUCAUCGAGUAUCCGAAAGGUUGUUGCGGACUUUGGAGCGUGAUCUACUGGCAAACUUGAUUGUUAUUGCUGUUUAAAUUAACGAAAAACUAUUAACAAACUUGACCUACAUGCGUUCUUGAUUGUCUCAAGGCGAAAUGAGCUCAGCGUUCGUCGGAAGUGGACUUUCUUUGAUUUAUGCAUUCGGAAAGCGUUUAAGGUUUUUGUUUAAUUAUUUUGAUCGGGCUCCAUUACGAGAUUACAACUAUUUCCCCCUUUAAUGGCUUAUCUCUAACAUCACUAAUUCCGCGCUAAAUGGCUAAUCACCUAAUCGAUAUCGUUUGUAAACUCAUGGCAAGCAAACAAUCACUUUUGCUCUCCGCUAUCGGAUAAACAACGCAAAUCUCACUAAACAAUCCAUCCGAGUCCUGUAGAGAUAUCGAUGAUUUCCAUGCCAGUUUACUGGUUCUUCCUGCACUUUGUAAGGACCAUGUUCCACAUGGAACGGCGCUUUUCCCCCGACAACCAACCUAAUAAAGCGUAGAAUGGCCUCGCAAAUGGAACUUUUUAUUGGGAUUCUUUUUGUUGCUCCACGAGGUAAUUGUAUUGGCGCUGGAGAUGAGGGACGGAUUUUAUGGUGAAAAGGGCAACGGCACGAUGUUGAGCCUUCGUACACCGGGAUUUGCGACAAAAAGUCUCCAACUGUUGCUUGCUUUAUCAAAAAGGCGCCCUUUUUACUCGGCAGUUUUUCCUUUGCGUGUUCAAAGUUUGAUCUAGAAUGAUGCCUCCUAGAUUGCCUCCGAGAAAUGAGCAAAAACGAGUCGGA